RNAcentral lists this ribosomal RNA (797 nucleotides) under marine metagenome. Its description in RNAcentral is "bacterial SSU rRNA". It matches the Rfam family "Bacterial small subunit ribosomal RNA", at positions 723 to 1520 of the family's 1533-position model. The record is from RNAcentral.
GCUCUGCUGGGCCAUAACUGACGCUCAUGGACGAAAGCCAGGGGAGCGAAAGGGAUUAGAUACCCUGUAGUCCUGGCCGUAAACGAUGAACACUAGGUGUCGGGGGAAUCGACCCCCUCGGUGUCGUAGCCAACGCGUUAAGUGUUCCGCCUGGGGAGUACGCACGCAAGUGUGAAACUCAAAGGAAUUGACGGGGGCCCGCACAAGCGGUGGAGUAUGUGGUUUAAUUCGAUGCAACGCGAAGAACCUUACCAGGGUUUGACAUCCUGCGAAUCUCUUGGAAACGAGAGAGUGCCUUCGGGAACGCAGUGACAGGUGGUGCAUGGCUGUCGUCAGCUCGUGUCGUGAGAUGUUGGGUUAAGUCCCGCAACGAGCGCAACCCACGUCUUUAGUUGCCAGCAUUUAGUUGGGCACUCUAGAGAGACCGCCGGUGAUAAACCGGAGGAAGGUGUGGAUGACGUCAAGUCAUCAUGCCCCUUACAUCCUGGGCUACACACGUACUACAAUGCUACGGACAAAGAGCAGCAAGUUCGCGAGGACAAGCAAAUCUCAUAAACCGUGGCUCAGUUCAGAUCGUAGGCUGCAACUCGCCUACGUGAAGGAGGAAUCGCUAGUAAUCGCAGGUCAGCAUACUGCGGUGAAUACGUUCCCGGGCCUUGUACACACCGCCCGUCACACCAUGGAAGUUGGCCACGCCCGAAGCCGUUACUCCAACCCUUGUGGAGGAGGACGUCGAAGGUGGGGCUGAUGACUGGGGUGAAGUCGUAACAAGGUAGCCGUACCGGAAGGUGCGGCUG